RNAcentral lists this small nuclear RNA (276 nucleotides) under Oryctolagus cuniculus (rabbit). Its description in RNAcentral is "7SK RNA". It matches the Rfam family "7SK RNA". Rfam says of the family: 7SK was discovered as an abundant small nuclear RNA in the mid-70s but a possible function has only recently been suggested. Two independent studies have found that 7SK RNA binds the CDK9/cyclin T complex (known as elongation factor P-TEFb). Lineage: Eukaryota; Metazoa; Chordata; Mammalia; Lagomorpha; Leporidae. The record is from Rfam by way of RNAcentral.
AGAUGUGUGGGCUAUCUGGCUGCAAUGUCUGUCACCUCAUUGAUCACCAGUGUGAUUGGCUGAUCUGGUUGGCUAGGCGGGUGUCUCCUUCCUCCCUCACUGCUCCACGUGGUUCCCUCCUGCUCAGUCCAAGAAGACAACCUUUCCCGCUAGAGGAGGACCAGUCUUCCAUCAGUGAUAUAUGAGUAGCUGCGCUCUUCUCCUAGAACUUCCAAAUAAGCUCUUAAGAAAAAGGACUUAGAUAUAAGAAGAGGGGCUUUUUUGGAGCCCUUCCUA